GACGAACGCUGGCGGCGUGCUUAACACAUGCAAGUCGAACGGAAAGGCCCUGCUUUUGUGGGGUGCUCGAGUGGCGAACGGGUGAGUAACACGUGAGUAACCUGCCCUUGACUUUGGGAUAACUUCAGGAAACUGGGGCUAAUACCGGAUAGGAGCUCCUGCUGCAUGGUGGGGGUUGGAAAGUUUCGGCGGUUGGGGAUGGACUCGCGGCUUAUCAGCUUGUUGGUGGGGUAGUGGCUUACCAAGGCUUUGACGGGUAGCCGGCCUGAGAGGGUGACCGCCCACAUUGGGACUGAGAUACGGCCCAGACUCCUACGGGAGGCAGCAGUGGGGAAUAUUGCACAAUGGGCGGAAGCCUGAUGCAGCAACGCCGCGUGCGGGAUGACGGCCUUCGGGUUGUAAACCGCCUUCGCCUGUGACGAAGCGUGAGUGACGGUAAUGGGUAAAGAAGCACCGGCUAACUACGUG
This 468-nucleotide ribosomal RNA is filed under the name uncultured bacterium. RNAcentral's name for it is "partial 16S ribosomal RNA". It matches the Rfam family "Bacterial small subunit ribosomal RNA", at positions 28 to 507 of the family's 1533-position model. The record is from RNAcentral.